GAUUAUGAGACGGCAAGAAGCAUGUAAAUCCAAAUAAAGGACUUCAGUAUAACUGAAUUGGAAAAACUUGCUUCUCAUAGUGAAUGACAAAGAAGCCUUUCUAUGGUAAAAGAGAAACCAACAGUUUGUUUGGUUUCAUACUCUUUGGCCAGUGGAUAAGAAAGAUGAGUUUUGGGGAAAGAACCAUUCAUCCACAGAGCUGCUCAGCAUCCCAUCAGACGGCUGAAUUCUAAAGGCAACCAGAUGAACUGAAUUCCAAAGGGUAACAGAACCCCGCAAGGAGAGAUG
This is a long non-coding RNA of Choloepus didactylus (southern two-toed sloth), 288 nucleotides long. RefSeq lists it as uncharacterized. The transcript has 3 exons. NCBI's taxonomy places the organism in Eukaryota, Metazoa, Chordata, Mammalia, Pilosa, Megalonychidae. The record is from RefSeq and is a predicted model, not a curated record.